This 474-nucleotide ribosomal RNA is filed under the name uncultured Lactobacillus sp. RNAcentral describes it as "bacterial SSU rRNA". It matches the Rfam family "Bacterial small subunit ribosomal RNA", at positions 74 to 524 of the family's 1533-position model. Lineage: Bacteria; Bacillati; Bacillota; Bacilli; Lactobacillales; Lactobacillaceae. The record is from RNAcentral.
UGAAACAAGAUACAGGCUAGCGGCGGGACGGGUGAGUAACACGUGGGUAAACCUGCCCAAGAGAUCGGGGAUAACACCUGGGAAACAGAUGCUAAUACCCGGAUAACAACAGAUGAUGCCUAUCAACUGUUUAAAGAUGGUUCUGCUAUCACUCUUGGGAUGGACCUGCGGUGCAUUAGCUAGUUGGUAGGGGUAACGGGCCUACCCAAGCGGGAUGAUGCAUAGCCCGAGUUGAGAGACUGAUCGGGCCACAUUGGGACUGAGACACGGCCCAAAACUCCUACGGGAGGCAGCAGUAGGGAAUCUUCCACAAUGGACGCAAGUCUGAUGGAGCAACGCCGCGUGAGUGAAGAAGGGUUUCGGCUCGUAAAAGCUCUGUUGUUGGUGAAGAAGGACAGGGGUAGUAACUGACCUUUGUUUGACGGUAAUCAAUUAGAAAGUCACGGCUAACUACGUGCCAGCAGCCGCGGUAAU